GGAUAACUCCGGGAAACCGGGGCUAAUACCGGAUGGUUGUUUGAACCGCAUGGUUCAAACAUAAAAGGUGGCUUCGGCUACCACUUACAGAUGGACCCGCGGCGCAUUAGCUAGUUGGUGAGGUAACGGCUCACCAAGGCGACGAUGCGUAGCCGACCUGAGAGGGUGAUCGGCCACACUGGGACUGAGACACGGCCCAGACUCCUACGGGAGGCAGCAGUAGGGAAUCUUCCGCAAUGGACGAAAGUCUGACGGAGCAACGCCGCGUGAGUGAUGAAGGUUUUCGGAUCGUAAAGCUCUGUUGUUAGGGAAGAACAAGUACCGUUCGAAUAGGGCGGUACCUUGACGGUACCUAACCAGAAAGCCACGGCUAACUACGUGCCAGCAGCCGCGGUAAUACGUAGGUGGCAAGCGUUGUCCGGAAUUAUUGGGCGUAAAGGGCUCGCAGGCGGUUUCUUAAGUCUGAUGUGAAAGCCCCCGGCUCAACCGGGGAGGGUCAUUGGAAACUGGGGAACUUGAGUGCAGAAGAGGAGAGUGGAAUUCCACGUGUAGCGGUGAAAUGCGUAGAGAUGUGGAGGAACACCAGUGGCGAAGGCGACUCUCUGGUCUGUAACUGACGCUGAGGAGCGAAAGCGUGGGGAGCGAACAGGAUUAGAUACCCUGGUAGUCCACGCCGUAAACGAUGAGUGCUAAGUGUUAGGGGGUUUCCGCCCCUUAGUGCUGCAGCUAACGCAUUAAGCACUCCGCCUGGGGAGUACGGUCGCAAGACUGAAACUCAAAGGAAUUGACGGGGGCCCGCACAAGCGGUGGAGCAUGUGGUUUAAUUCGAAGCAACGCGAAGAACCUUACCAGGUCUUGACAUCCUCUGACAAUCCUAGAGAUAGGACGUCCCCUUCGGGGGCAGAGUGACAGGUGGUGCAUGGUUGUCGUCAGCUCGUGUCGUGAGAUGUUGGGUUAAGUCCCGCAACGAGCGCAACCCUUGAUCUUAGUUGCCAGCAUUCAGUUGGGCACUCUAAGGUGACUGCCGGUGACAAACCGGAGGAAGGUGGGGAUGACGUCAAAUCAUCAUGCCCCUUAUGACCUGGGCUACACACGUGCUACAAUGGACAGAACAAAGGGCAGCGAAACCGCGAGGUUAAGCCAAUCCCACAAAUCUGUUCUCAGUUCG
RNAcentral lists this ribosomal RNA (1168 nucleotides) under Bacillus subtilis. RNAcentral's name for it is "bacterial SSU rRNA". It matches the Rfam family "Bacterial small subunit ribosomal RNA", at positions 141 to 1295 of the family's 1533-position model. Lineage: Bacteria; Bacillati; Bacillota; Bacilli; Caryophanales; Bacillaceae. The record is from RNAcentral.